GCCUGAUAUCUCCCACGCCAACGUAUGCAAAUUCACGUGAUGGAUGGAUGAAUAAGGAGUGUGUCACAUGGGUCGUGUCCCUACCCCCCAACUCGAGGAACACGUCCGAUUUUUGAUCCUUUUCAAUUGGGAGUUGAGAUGUUUUUGCUUUUUGGAUAUGUGGGGGCAACUUGUACUUCAAUUAGCAGCACACAUCCAAGAUAUAUUGCAAUUAUAGUUGAUGCACAUUUUGUUUGGCAAAGCUAUUUAUUCGACCGAAGAGAAAGGAUCUUCCAGUAGAGCGAUUUCAUCCCCUUUCAGUAGAGCGAUUUCAUCUCCAUAUUAAUGUCUGAUUUUCUCGUCAGCGCACAUCCAAGGUACAUUGCAAUUGCAGUUGAUGUCCAUUUUGUUUUGGAAAGAUAUUUAUUCGGUGGAAGAGAGAAAUCUUUCGGCAAAGCGAUUUCAUCUUCAUAUUAAUGUUUGGUUUUCACAUCAGGCAAGCGUCAUUAUCGAUAAGAAGUGGUGUGUGAUUUCUUUUUAGCAGUCCAUAUAUCUGAUGCUAAUUCGAUGGAUUUACGCACUGUAGGCACAACCCCACAGAUCGUGUGGGUAAUUAUUACAAACUAAGAUCUUUAUCAUAUAUAUAACUAGUUAGUUACGA
This is a long non-coding RNA of Eucalyptus grandis, 640 nucleotides long. RefSeq lists it as uncharacterized. The record is from RefSeq and is a predicted model, not a curated record. The transcript is spliced from 2 exons. NCBI's taxonomy places the organism in Eukaryota, Viridiplantae, Streptophyta, Magnoliopsida, Myrtales, Myrtaceae.